Molecule: ribosomal RNA, 1719 nt
Filed under: Clostridioides difficile P70
Lineage: Bacteria; Bacillati; Bacillota; Clostridia; Peptostreptococcales; Peptostreptococcaceae
Description: partial 16S ribosomal RNA
Rfam family: Bacterial large subunit ribosomal RNA (bases 1-562)
Source: RNAcentral
AAAGAGAGCUUGAUUGCAAGACAUACAGGUCGAGCAAGGAUGAAAAUCGGACUUAGUGAUCCGGUGGUUCUGCGUGGAAGGGCCAUCGCUCAACGGAUAAAAGCUACCCUGGGGAUAACAGGCUUAUCUCCCCCAAGAGUCCACAUCGACGGGGAGGUUUGGCACCUCGAUGUCGGCUCAUCACAUCCUGGGGCUGUAGUAGGUCCCAAGGGUUGGGCUGUUCGCCUAUUAAAGUGGUACGCGAGCUGGGUUCAGAACGUCGUGAGACAGUUCGGUCCCUAUCCGUCGCAGGCGUAGGAAAUUUGAGAAGACCUGUCCUUAGUACGAGAGGACCGGGAUGGACGUACCUCUGGUGUACCAGUUGUUCUGCCAAGGGCAUGGCUGGGUAGCUAUGUACGGAAUGGAUAAGCGCUGAAAGCAUCUAAGCGCGAAGCCAACUUCAAGAUAAGAUUUCCCACCGCAAGGGUAAGACCCCAGAAAGACUAUCUGGUUGAUAGGUCGAAGGUGUAAGUGCAGCAAUGUAUUUAGCUUAUCGAUACUAAUAGGUCGAGGACUUGACCAAUAUUUAUUUGAUGUUCAUUCAUUAAGAUAUAUGUGUAGUUUUUAGAGUGUUAACUUUUAAAAAUUAGUUUUACUAAUUUACAAUAAAAUAGGUGUGCUGGUGUGGCUCAACGGUAGAGCAGCUGACUUGUAAUCAGCAGGUUGUAGGUUCGAUUCCUAUCACCAGCUCCAGUAAAGACUAUGUUUUUAGCAUAGUCUUUUUUUAUUGUUUUUUAUUGUUUGAUGUAUUUGUUAUUUUGUAUUAAAUACUUUUAGUGGUCUAAUUUAUAAAUUAUAGGUAUAAAAGAUGACACAGUUUAAAAUUAUUGUUUUAAACUGUGUCUGUGAGUUUUAAAUCAAUCUACCAUGAAUCACCAUUCUGGCAUCAUCAAAUUCAUAUGUACAUGUAGAAAGUGUAACUAUUUUAUCAUUGCUAUUUACCUUAAUAGGAGAUUUAUACAAUGAUUUAGAAGUAAUAUCAUUUAUGUAAUUUUGAUAAUCAGAUUCAUUGUUAAAAUUUGUUUUUAGAUAAUCAUAAUCAGAUUCUACAAUAUAAGCAGAAAAAACAUCAUAUAAAAAUUCUUUUCCAUUCAAGGUUAUUUUUAUUUUAUUAUUUUUUUUAAAGAAGUCAGCAUCUUUAAACUUAUUUAGGUUGUUGAACAUAGUUUUAUUUUUCAUAUUAUGUCCAUAUAUUAUGAUAUUUUUGUCAUCAAUAGAUUUAUUUCUAUAAUCCAUAAACAGUGUACCAGAAAUAGAAUCUUUUUUAUAAAAAUCUUUGUCAAGAUAGUAAGAAUUAUCUUUAGAUUGUACAACUGGAUAAUUUAUAUUUGUAUUCUCAACAGAAAGCCAAAAUUUAAAAUCACUGUUAAUCUUUGAUAAAUCCUCUUUUUUAUAUUCUUUUUUUUGAAGUUCUGAGGAUAUUUUAGUAUCAUGAUUGUAUUUGGUAAGUUUUGAGUAUAUAUUAAAUCCACUGUAAAGUAUUACUAAUACUAGUAUAAUGUUAAUUACUAUUCUAUAUAAUUUUUUCAAUAUAUCACCUCGAGUUAAAUGUAGUUUAUAUAUCUAUAUUACACUAUUUUUGAAUAAAUUUAAAUUUUUAGUAUAAUAUUACUUUGACAUGUAAAAGAAUUUGUGUUAACAUAACUAAGUAAAAUAAAUAUUAAGUAAGCCAGAUAAUCG